RNAcentral lists this ribosomal RNA (782 nucleotides) under Ganoderma lucidum. Its description in RNAcentral is "eukaryotic LSU rRNA". The stretch from base 238 to 391 matches the Rfam family "5.8S ribosomal RNA". Lineage: Eukaryota; Fungi; Basidiomycota; Agaricomycetes; Polyporales; Polyporaceae. The record is from RNAcentral.
GGCGUAUGCUUCGUAGGUGACCUGCGGAGGAUCAUUAUCGAGUUUUGACCGGGUUGUAGCUGGCCUUCCGAGGCAUGUGCACGCCCUGCUCAUCCACUCUACACCUGUGCACUUACUGUGGGCUUCAGAUUGCGAGGCACGCUCUUUACCGGGCUUGCGGAGCAUAUCUGUGCCUGCGUUUAUCACAAACUCUAUAAAGUAACAGAAUGUGUAUUGCGAUGUAACACAUUUAUAUACAACUUUCAGCAACGGAUCUCUUGGCUCUCGCAUCGAUGAAGAACGCAGCGAAAUGCGAUAAGUAAUGUGAAUUGCAGAAUUCAGUGAAUCAUCGAAUCUUUGAACGCACCUUGCGCUCCUUGGUAUUCCGAGGAGCAUGCCUGUUUGAGUGUCAUGAAAUCUUCAACCUACAAGCUUUUGUGGUUUGUAGGCUUGGACUUGGAGGCUUGUCGGCCGUUAUCGGUCGGCUCCUCUUAAAUGCAUUAGCUUGGUUCCUUGCGGAUCGGCUCUCGGUGUGAUAAUGUCUACGCCGCGACCGUGAAGCGUUUGGCGAGCUUCUAACCGUCUUAUAAGACAGCUUUAUGACCUCUGACCUCAAAUCAGGUAGGACUACCCGCUGAACUUAAGCAUAUCAAUAAGCGGAGGAAAAGAAACUAACAAGGAUUCCCCUAGUAACUGCGAGUGAAGCGGGAAAAGCUCAAAUUUAAAAUCUGGCGGUCUUUGGCCGUCCGAGUUGUAGUCUGGAGAAGUGCUUUCCGCGCUGGACCGUGUCAAUUUCUCCCUGA